RNAcentral lists this ribosomal RNA (253 nucleotides) under uncultured bacterium. Its description in RNAcentral is "partial 16S ribosomal RNA". It matches the Rfam family "Bacterial small subunit ribosomal RNA", at positions 524 to 776 of the family's 1533-position model. The record is from RNAcentral.
UACGUAGGGGGCAAGCGUUGUCCGGAUUUACUGGGCGUAAAGAGCGCGUAGGCGGAGAUCUAAGCGUGGCCUGAAAGCCCCCGGCUCAACCGGGGAGUGCGGCUGCGAACUGGGUUUCUUGAGGACGAUAGAGGAGAGUGGAAUUCCUGGUGUAGCGGUGAAAUGCGCAGAUAUCAGGAGGAACACCGAUUGCGAAGGCAGCUCGCUGGGACGUUACUGACGCUGAGACGCGAAAGCGUGGGGAGCAAACGGG